This 335-nucleotide ribosomal RNA is filed under the name Priestia megaterium. Its description in RNAcentral is "bacterial SSU rRNA". It matches the Rfam family "Bacterial small subunit ribosomal RNA", at positions 556 to 889 of the family's 1533-position model. Lineage: Bacteria; Bacillati; Bacillota; Bacilli; Caryophanales; Bacillaceae. The record is from RNAcentral.
GGGCGUAAGCGCGCGCAGGCGGUUUCUUAAGUCUGAUGUGAAAGCCCCCCGCUCUACCGGGGAGGGGCAUUGGAAACUGGGGAACUUGAGUGCGGAAGAGGGUGGUGGAAUUCCCUGUGUAGCGGUGAAAUGCGUAGAUAUGUGGAGGAACACCAGUGGCGAAGGCGGCUUUUUGGUCUGUAUACUGACGCUGAGGCGCGAAAGCGUGGGGAGCAAACAGGAUUAGAUACCCUGGUAGUCCACGCCGUAAACGAUGACUGCUAACUGUUGGAGGGCUUCCGCCCUUUAGUGCUGCAGCUAACGCAUUAAGCUCUCCGCCUGGGGAGUACGGUCGC